UGGGGAAUCUUCCGCAAUGGACGAAAGUCUGACGGAGCAACGCCGCGUGUAUGAUGAAGGUCUUCGGAUUGUAAAGUACUGUCAUUGGGGAAGAACGGUUUUCUUGAAAAGAUUGAGAAGACAUGACGGUACCCAAGGAGGAAGCCCCGGCUAACUACGUGCCAGCAGCCGCGGUAAUACGUAGGGGGCAAGCGUUGUCCGGAAUUAUUGGGCGUAAAGGGCGCGUAGGCGGGCCUUUAAGUCCGGUGUGAAAGAUCAGGGCUCAACCCUGAGAGUGCAUCGGAAACUGGAGGCCUUGAGGACAGGAGAGGAAAGUGGAAUUCCACGUGUAGCGGUGAAAUGCGUAGAUAUGUGGAGGAACACCAGUGGCGAAGGCGACUUUCUGGACUGUAACUGACGCUGAGGCGCGAAAGCGUGGGGAGCAAACAGGAUUAGAUACCCUGGUAGUCCACGCCGUAAACGAUGAGUGCUAGGUGUAGAGGGUAUCGACCCCUUCUGUGCCGCAGUUAACACAAUAAGCACUCCGCCUGGGGAGUACGGCCGCAAGGUUGAAACUCAAAUGAAUUGACGGGGGUCAUAGCUGUUCAU
RNAcentral lists this ribosomal RNA (588 nucleotides) under uncultured bacterium. RNAcentral describes it as "partial 16S ribosomal RNA". It matches the Rfam family "Bacterial small subunit ribosomal RNA", at positions 355 to 937 of the family's 1533-position model. The record is from RNAcentral.